CCGGAAGUGACGUCAUGCGGAAGUAUCAUGCGUUCCACGGUGGCAAAUAGGAACACCACGGUUCCAACACCGGCGAACAUUUGAGCGAUUAGAAGGCGGAUAUAUAAGAAGAUUCUCAAAAACAAUCACAGCUACACAUCCCUGAGGAAGUCCAGAGGAGGACGAAACGCAUUGGAAUUGUUUUUAUUUUGUUUUUGUAUUGAAUUUUAAUAUUGUUUGGUUGCUGUUAUUACUGCUCCGGAUCCUGUAUCUUGAUUGGUUCAGUUGCUACAAAUGAAUACCACCCAGUGUGGAGACAAGCUGCUUUUAUUCUGAUACAUUGUAAGUGCAAUACAUGUAAUAAAUUGUUACUCUUUAUACAAUCUGCACUAUCUAUUUCUAUUUCUUCUUUCCAUUUGGAGUGAAUUAGAAGAUUUGCUGCUAUUAUACAAUUGGAAUCAUCGCUGGAGGUCCUUCAUAUUUUCCAGUCCCCUAAUACAGAGGGAGAUAUGCCUGAUCUCAUCCUAUUUUUGUGAGUUCUUUACCACCCAUAAUUUCCAAGUGGCUCUAACAAUAUUACACUAUAUAUUGUUUGUGUAUUUUUUACAGAUAUAAUUCUGAAUCUAAAAUAUACCAACAUAAUCCAGUUUGUAUUCACUUAUUUAUUAUCACUUUUGGUGAUUCACAUUAUUUUGUACCUUUGGUUUUUUCUUUUUCUUGUCACUGUUGUUAUUUGAGUGUUUAUAAGGGAACACUUAUAAACCUAGGGUACUGUGUGCAUUAUAGCACUGACAGUUAACUGUUUGUUUUCUUCCAUACUCUGACCUGUGCUUGAUGGGGAGCAGCAAAGAAAGAGGCAAUAGUUAGUUGAGAGGGGCCUUUUAUGAUUUUCUCUCUAUGUUAAUGUGCUGCUGUGGAGUUAUAGUAAAGAGAGACUUAAGCAAAUAUGAAGCCUCCUGUCAUGUUAUAAAAUGUUGUCUCUUUAUAAAUCACUGGUAAGACCACACUGAAAAAGUGCACGGACAAAAUUGAUAAAAGGAAUGGAGUAUUUUAGUUAUGAAGAAAGGUUAAAAAAUGUAAAUCUCUUUGUUAUCACAGCCUCAGAGGGGCUCUGAUAACAUUAUACAAAUUUAUUUGGGACUAGUACAAACCAUUAUCUGGAAAUAGAAACAUAAAAACAUAGAAUGUGAUGGCAGAUAAGAAACAUUCGGCCCAUCUAGUCUGCCCAAUUUUCUAAAUACUUUCAUUAGUCCCUGGCCUUAUCUUAUAGCUAGGAUAGCUAGGAAAUCUAUUCAUAAACAGGGCUAUACAUAGGAUAUGAGGUCACGCAUUUAGACUGGAAGAAAGGAGAUUUAACUUAAGGCAAAAAAAAAUAAAUGAUUUUUUUACAGUUAGAACUAUAAGGAUAUGGAAUUCUCUGCCUGAAGAGGUGGUUUUAAUAGAGUCCAUACAGAUGUUUAAACAGCAAUUGGAUAAAUAUUUGCAAAAACAUAACAUACAAG
Pelobates cultripes (western spadefoot toad) is the source of this 1481-nucleotide non-coding RNA. The record is from the annotation of a GenBank genome assembly. NCBI's taxonomy places the organism in Eukaryota, Metazoa, Chordata, Amphibia, Anura, Pelobatidae.